This 636-nucleotide ribosomal RNA is filed under the name uncultured bacterium. RNAcentral's name for it is "bacterial SSU rRNA". It matches the Rfam family "Bacterial small subunit ribosomal RNA", at positions 209 to 842 of the family's 1533-position model. The record is from RNAcentral.
UUAAUUCCGGUGGCGGAUGGGCAUGCGUCGCAUUAGUUAGUUGGCGGUGUAACGGACCACCAAGACGACGAUGCGUAGGGGUUCUGAGAGGAAGGUCCCCCACACUGGUACUGAGACACGGACCAGACUCCUACGGGAGGCAGCAGUGAGGAAUAUUGGUCAAUGGGCGGGAGCCUGAACCAGCCAAGUCGCGUGAGGGAUGACGGCCCUAUGGGUUGUAAACCUCUUUUGCCGGGGAGCAAAGUGCCGCACGUGUGCGGUUUGGAGAGUACCCGGAGAAAAAGCAUCGGCUAACUCCGUGCCAGCAGCCGCGGUAAUACGGAGGAUGCGAGCGUUAUCCGGAUUUAUUGGGUUUAAAGGGUGCGUAGGCGGACGCUUAAGUCAGCGGUAAAAUUGCGGGGCUCAACCUCGUCGAGCCGUUGAAACUGGGUGCCUUGAGUGGGCGAGAAGUACGCGGAAUGCGUGGUGUAGCGGUGAAAUGCAUAGAUAUCACGCAGAACUCCGAUUGCGAAGGCAGCGUACCGGCGCCCAACUGACGCUGAAGCACGAAGGCGUGGGUAUCGAACAGGAUUAGAUACCCUGGUAGUCCACGCAGUAAACGAUGAAUGCUAGUUGUCCGGGGCGAUUGAGUUCUGG